CAACGAGCGCAACCCUUAAGCUUAGUUGCCAUCAUUAAGUUGGGCACUCUAAGUUGACUGCCGGUGACAAACCGGAGGAAGGUGGGGAUGACGUCAAAUCAUCAUGCCCCUUAUGAUUUGGGCUACACACGUGCUACAAUGGACAAUACAAAGGGCAGCGAAACCGCGAGGUCAAGCAAAUCCCAUAAAGUUGUUCUCAGUUCGGAUUGUAGUCUGCAACUCGACUACAUGAAGCUGGAAUCGCUAGUAAUCGUAGAUCAGCAUGCUACGGUGAAUACGUUCCCGGGUCUUGUACACACCGCCCGUCACACCACGAGAGUUUGUAACACCCGAAGCCGGUGGAGUAACCUUUUAGGAGCUAGCCGUCGAAGGUGGGACAAAUGAUUGGGGUGAAGUCGUAACAAGGUAGCCGUAUCGGAAGGUGCGGCUGGAUCACCUCCUUUCUAAGGA
Molecule: ribosomal RNA, 450 nt
Filed under: Staphylococcus aureus
Lineage: Bacteria; Bacillati; Bacillota; Bacilli; Caryophanales; Staphylococcaceae
Description: bacterial SSU rRNA
Rfam family: Bacterial small subunit ribosomal RNA
Source: RNAcentral